Molecule: ribosomal RNA, 420 nt
Filed under: uncultured bacterium
Lineage: Bacteria
Description: bacterial SSU rRNA
Rfam family: Bacterial small subunit ribosomal RNA
Source: RNAcentral
AAGGAAUAUUGGUCAAUGGACGCAAGUCUGAACCAGCCAUGCCGCGUGAAGGAUGAAGGUCCUCUGGAUUGUAAACUUCUUUUAUCUGGGACGAAAACGGGAUUUUUAUCUCAAUUGACGGUACCAGAGGAAUAAGCACCGGCUAACUCCGUGCCAGCAGCCGCGGUAAUACGGAGGGUGCGAGCGUUAUCCGGAUUUACUGGGUUUAAAGGGUGCGUAGGUGGGCUUAUAAGUCAGUGGUGAAAUCUUCCGGCUUAACCGGGAAACUGCCGCUGAUACUAUUUGUCUUGAAUAUUGCGGAGGUAAGCGGAAUAUGUCAUGUCGCGGUGAAAUGCUUAGAUAUGACAUAGAACACCAAUUGCGAAGGCAGCUUACUACACAAUCAUUGACACUGAGGCACGAAAGCGUGGGUAGCGAACA